RNAcentral lists this transfer RNA (73 nucleotides) under Microbispora siamensis. Its description in RNAcentral is "tRNA-Arg". It matches the Rfam family "tRNA". Rfam says of the family: Transfer RNA (tRNA) molecules are approximately 80 nucleotides in length. The record is from RNAcentral. Lineage: Bacteria; Bacillati; Actinomycetota; Actinomycetes; Streptosporangiales; Streptosporangiaceae.
CCCGCCGUAGUUCAGAGGUAGAACGCCCGGCUCUUCCGGGUGGGCGCCGGUUCGAGCCCGGCCGGCGGUGCCA